ACCCAGCUAGCUCAGCCAUUAGAACAUGAGACUCUUAAUCUCAGAGUCAUGGGUUCGAGCCCCACACUGGGUG
RNAcentral lists this transfer RNA (73 nucleotides) under Chlamydotis macqueenii (Macqueen's bustard). RNAcentral's name for it is "Chlamydotis undulata macqueenii tRNA". It matches the Rfam family "tRNA". From Rfam's summary of the family: Transfer RNA (tRNA) molecules are approximately 80 nucleotides in length. Their secondary structure includes four short double-helical elements and three loops (D, anti-codon, and T loops). The record is from Rfam by way of RNAcentral. Lineage: Eukaryota; Metazoa; Chordata; Aves; Otidiformes; Otididae.